Molecule: ribosomal RNA, 497 nt
Filed under: uncultured bacterium
Lineage: Bacteria
Description: partial 16S ribosomal RNA
Rfam family: Bacterial small subunit ribosomal RNA
Source: RNAcentral
GAUGAACGCUGGCGGCGUGCCUAAUACAUGCAAGUCGAGCGAACAGACGAGGAGCUUGCUCCUCUGACGUUAGCGGCGGACGGGUGAGUAACACGUGGAUAACCUACCUAUAAGACUGGGAUAACAUCGGGAAACCGGAGAUAAUACCGGAUAAUAUAUUGAACGGCAUGGUUCAAUAGUGCAAGACGGCUUUGCUGUCACUUAUAGAUGGAUCCGCGCCGCAUUAGCUAGUUGGUAAGGUAACGGCUUACCAAGGCAACGAUGCGUAGCCGACCUGAGAGGGUGAUCAGCCACACUGGAACUGAGACACGGUCCAGACUCCUACGGGAGGCAGCAGUAGGGAAUCUUCGGCAAUGGGCGAAAGCCUGACGCAGCAACGCCGCGUGAGUGAUGAAGGUCUUCGGAUCGUAAAGCUCUGUUAUUAGGGAAGAAAAAAUGUGGGUGUAUCUAUGCACGUCUUGACGGUACCUAAACAGAAAGCCACGGCUAACUACGUG